Molecule: ribosomal RNA, 301 nt
Filed under: uncultured bacterium
Lineage: Bacteria
Description: partial 16S ribosomal RNA
Rfam family: Bacterial small subunit ribosomal RNA
Source: RNAcentral
CAGUAGCCACGGUAAUACGAAGGGGGCUAGCGUUGUUCGGAAUUACUGGGCGUAAAGCGCACGUAGGCGGACAUUUAAGUCAGGGGUGAAAUCCCGGGGCUCAACCCCGGAACUGCCUUUGAUACUGGGUGUCUAGAGUAUGGAAGAGGUGAGUGGAAUUCCGAGUGUAGAGGUGAAAUUCGUAGAUAUUCGGAGGAACACCAGUGGCGAAGGCGGCUCACUGGUCCAUUACUGACGCUGAGGUGCGAAAGCGUGGGGAGCAAACAGGAUUAGAUACCCCGGUAGUCCCUGUCUCUUAUAC